Long non-coding RNA from Cephus cinctus (wheat stem sawfly), 340 nucleotides. RefSeq lists it as uncharacterized. NCBI's taxonomy places the organism in Eukaryota, Metazoa, Arthropoda, Insecta, Hymenoptera, Cephidae. The transcript is spliced from 3 exons. The record is from RefSeq and is a predicted model, not a curated record.
GCCAAAACCAUCGGUAAAAACUUCUGACCCGUCCGUAUGAAUGACAUCCACAAGACGAGCAUCUGACACGUCCAAUUUUCUAGAACGAUCUCGCACGAGGAUUUACACCCAAUUUGAUAACAUCCAGUAAUAUCAAUGCCAAUUGACGACCAACUAGCUCAGUAUUUGCUACAGCCGCUUGGUACAGACGGCACACAAACGAUACGAUGUUAUUUUGUCAGAGGAUGCAAUUGAACUUUCGCGCGACCCAUUACGCCAGCAAAAAGACUUUCACUUGUAGCAGCAAUUUUCGCAACAAGUCAUUACACAUAUUAUGCAUAUGUAGUUGCAUAUAUUUACA